RNAcentral lists this ribosomal RNA (876 nucleotides) under Citrobacter koseri. Its description in RNAcentral is "bacterial SSU rRNA". It matches the Rfam family "Bacterial small subunit ribosomal RNA", at positions 582 to 1454 of the family's 1533-position model. Lineage: Bacteria; Pseudomonadati; Pseudomonadota; Gammaproteobacteria; Enterobacterales; Enterobacteriaceae. The record is from RNAcentral.
GUUAAGUCAGAUGUGAAUCCCCGGGCCUCAACCCUGGGACUGCAUCUGAUACUGGCAGGCUUGAGUCUCGUAGAGGGGGGUAGAAUUCCAGGUGUAGCGGUGAAAUGCGUAGAGAUCUGGAGGAAUACCGGUGGCGAAGGCCGGCCCCCUGGACGAAGACUGACGCUCAGGUGCGAAAGCGUGGGGAGCAAACCAGGAUUAGAUACCCUGGUAGUCCACGCCCGUAAACGAUGUCGACUUGGAGGUUGUGCCCUUGAGGCGUGGCUUCCCGGAGCUAACGCGUUAAGUCGACCGCCUGGGGAGUACGGCCGCAAGGUUAAAACUCAAAUGAAUUGACGGGGGCCCGCACAAGCGGUGGAGCAUGUGGUUUAAUUCGAUGCAACGCGAAGAACCUUACCUGGUCUUGACAUCCACAGAACUUGGCAGAGAUGCCUUGGUGCCUUCGGGAACUGUGAGACAGGUGCUGCAUGGCUGUCGUCAGCUCGUGUUGUGAAAUGUUGGGUUAAGUCCCGCAACGAGCGCAACCCUUAUCCUUUGUUGCCAGCGGUUAGGCCGGGAACUCAAAGGAGACUGCCAGUGAUAAACUGGAGGAAGGUGGGGAUGACGUCAAGUCAUCAUGGCCCUUACGACCAGGGCUACACACGUGCUACAAUGGCAUAUACAAAGAGAAGCGACCUCGCGAGAGCAAGCGGACCUCAUAAAGUAUGUCGUAGUCCGGAUUGGAGUCUGCAACUCGACUCCAUGAAGUCGGAAUCGCUAGUAAUCGUGGAUCAGAAUGCCACGGUGAAUACGUUCCCGGGCCUUGUACACACCGCCCGUCACACCAUGGGAGUGGGUUGCAAAAGAAGUAGGUAGCUUAACCUUCGGGAGGGCGCU